RNAcentral lists this unclassified non-coding RNA (260 nucleotides) under uncultured Dothideales. RNAcentral's name for it is "sequence contains 5.8S rRNA gene, ITS2, 28S rRNA gene". The record is from RNAcentral. Lineage: Eukaryota; Fungi; Ascomycota; Dothideomycetes; Dothideales.
AACGCACAUUGCGCCCUUUGGUAUUCCGAGGGGCAUGCCUGUUCGAGCGUCAUUACACCACUCAAGCACCGCUUGGUAUUGGGCGGCGGCCGGUUUACCGGCCCCCCUGAAAUGGAUAUUUGGCGGCGCCCUCCCGGCUGCAAGCGUAGUAGAACUUUUACGUCUCGCUUCAGUGGCUCGGGGUGCGCUCGCCUGACGAAAAACCAAUCUUUUUUAUCUAGGUUGACCUCGGAUCAGGUAGGGAUACCCGCUGAACUUAA